UGGGGAAUAUUGGACAAUGGGGGGAACCCUGAUCCAGCCAUGCCGCGUGUGUGAAGAAGGCCUUAUGGUUGUAAAGCACUUUAAGCGAGGAGGAGGGUACUGGUAUUAAUACUACCAGCUACUGGACGUUACUCGCAGAAUAAGCACCGGCUAACUCUGUGCCAGCAGCCGCGGUAAUACAGAGGGUGCAAGCGUUAAUCGGAAUUACUGGGCGUAAAGCGCGCGUAGGCGGCUAAUUGAGUCGGAUGUGAAAUCCCCGAGCUUAACUUGGGAAUUGCAUUCGAUACUGGUUAGCUAGAGUGUGGGAGAGGAUGGUAGAAUUCCAGGUGUAGCGGUGAAAUGCGUAGAGAUCUGGAGGAAUACCGAUGGCGAAGGCAGCCAUCUGGCCUAACACUGACGCUGAGGUACGAAAGCAUGGGGAGCAAACAGG
RNAcentral lists this ribosomal RNA (430 nucleotides) under Pseudomonadota bacterium. Its description in RNAcentral is "Proteobacteria bacterium partial 16S ribosomal RNA". It matches the Rfam family "Bacterial small subunit ribosomal RNA", at positions 355 to 776 of the family's 1533-position model. Lineage: Bacteria; Pseudomonadati; Pseudomonadota. The record is from RNAcentral.